CAGUAGCCACGGGAAUACGAAGGGGGCUAGCGUUGUUCGGAAUUACUGGGCGUAAAGCGCACGUAGGCGGAUAUUUAAGUCAGGGGUGAAAUCCCGCAGCUCAACUGCGGAACUGCCUUUGAUACUGGGUAUCUUGAGUAUGGAAGAGGUUAGUGGAAUUGCGAGUGUAGAGGUGAAAUUCGUAGAUAUUCGCAGGAACACCAGUGGCGAAGGCGGCUAACUGGUCCAUAACUGACGCUGAGGUGCGAAAGCGUGGGGAGCAAACAGGAUUAGAUACCCCCGUAGUCCCUGUCUCUUAUAC
RNAcentral lists this ribosomal RNA (301 nucleotides) under uncultured bacterium. RNAcentral's name for it is "partial 16S ribosomal RNA". It matches the Rfam family "Bacterial small subunit ribosomal RNA", at positions 509 to 807 of the family's 1533-position model. The record is from RNAcentral.